GGAACGUCUCAGUUCGGAUUGUAGUCUGCAACUCGACUACAUGAAGCUGGAAUCGCUAGUAAUCGCGAAUCAGAAUGUCGCGGUGAAUACGUUCCCGGGUCUUGUACACACCGCCCGUCACACCAUGGGAGCCGGGAAUGCCCGAAGUCGGUGACCUAACUGAGAAGAAGGAGCCGCCGAAGGCAGGUCUGGUAACUGGGGUGAAGUCGUAACAAGGUAAC
RNAcentral lists this ribosomal RNA (221 nucleotides) under uncultured bacterium. RNAcentral describes it as "partial 16S ribosomal RNA". It matches the Rfam family "Bacterial small subunit ribosomal RNA", at positions 1280 to 1500 of the family's 1533-position model. The record is from RNAcentral.